This is a long non-coding RNA of Lycium ferocissimum, 1182 nucleotides long. RefSeq lists it as uncharacterized. The record is from RefSeq and is a predicted model, not a curated record. Lineage: Eukaryota; Viridiplantae; Streptophyta; Magnoliopsida; Solanales; Solanaceae. The transcript has 2 exons.
UUUACCAGAGCUUCUGACUGGGUUAUCUGAGAUUUCUCGACGUUUAGAGAUGGGUGCAAUUACGUGCUAUUUUAGGGAUGUAGCUAUGUCAAUUCAUUACUACCGACGCCCGGAGAAGUUACUUACCAGAUUUUUGUAGCUAUUCUUGAAAUUCCUAUGACAUUCGUUAUUCUUUUAACCAAUUCCGUACAUGCAUUGAUUGAAGAAAAUGGGCUAUAGAGAAAGUAAGUCUUCCAUCUUGAACAACUACUUUGUUCUUUCUCUUACCUAUCUUGUGCAUUUGCUUUGCUUGCUCCAUCUUUGGGCCUUGGAUUUUGGAUUCAUAGAAUUUCUACAUGUUGGUUCCCUUUUUUUUCUGAGCAUUUUUCUUUAAAAAUUUAGGGUAGAAGCUUGAUGCAGCAAAGAUGUUUGACAAUAUGUCUCAGGUAUUGAAUAUCUUUUUUGAUCUAUCCUCCGGCAAUCCAAAGGUACCUUACUUACUUCUAUUGGACUGAAUUACUGAAUAAUCAUAUAUUUGUUAAAUGAACAUUUGUUUUAAAUGGAUUUAAUUAGCUCAUAUAACUAUUGUCGUAUCACUACUGUUUAUCUAAAUAAAUAGAGAAAGUCAUAUUCAAUCCAAAUUGGCGCGGAGUUCUUUCGUGGCUGCCAUUUUGGUGCUUGGUAUGUAUUCAUGAUUGAAUUAGCUCAACAACAAUUACAUGUUUUUAUCAUGUUUAAGAACCUCUUAAAGAGUUGCAUAGCUAUGAUGCCUUUUCUGUUGUGCUUUUUCUAUUGCAACAAUUAAUUUAAUCGUGUAAUCUUUUUGGUUGUGCAUGUGAUUAGCUGGGAGAAAUUUGCCAACAUUUUAAGAAUUGACAUUUAUGGAAUGCCUCAAAAUAAGUCAAGGCAAAUUUUCUUGAUGGUAAGGUAAAGAUUCGAAUAUAUUUUUGUACAAAUCAGCCCUCUUAUAAGGACUACAGUGCAACUCUUAAUUUAUUGAACCAACCAAAAAGAGUUGGUGAAAUCCAACAGAUGAAAAUGAUAGUUUGUAGUAACAGAAUGAUCCUAAGAGCUUCUUUGAAUAAACUUUCAUUGUUUCUGUUAUUUUAUUGGUGGACGUUAUUUGACUUAUGCUAAGAUUUGGUUUCUUUUCUAUUUUUAUGAUUUGAGUUGGUAUUUAAUUUGAAGUUGCUUUGGGUUGUA